GUAGGGUGCGGGCGUUAAUCGGAAUUACUGGGCGUAAAGCGUGCGCAGGCGGCUCCUUAAGUCAGAUGUGAAAUCCCCGGGCUUAACCUGGGAACUGCGUUUGAAACUGUGGAGCUAGAGUGUGGAAGAGGGGGGUGGAAUUCCAGGUGUAGCAGUGAAAUGCGUAGAGAUCUGGAGGAACACCGAUGGCGAAGGCAGCCCCCUGGGCUGACACUGACGCUCAUGCACGAAAGCGUGGGGAGCAAACAGGAUUAGAUACCCUGGUAGUCCACGCCCUAAACGAUGUCAACUGGUUGUCGGGGAAGUUAUUCCUUGGUAACGAAGCUAACGCGUGAAGUUGACCGCCUGGGGAGUACGGCCGCAAGGUUA
This 369-nucleotide ribosomal RNA is filed under the name uncultured bacterium. RNAcentral's name for it is "bacterial SSU rRNA". It matches the Rfam family "Bacterial small subunit ribosomal RNA", at positions 527 to 896 of the family's 1533-position model. The record is from RNAcentral.